GACAGAUAAACUGCAGAAGAGCAGCGUCUAUCGUAUUUCAAAAAAACGUUGGCAGACAACUUUCUAUAUGGUACGGAUAUACUGACUAUCUUUGCCUAUUUUGAAGUUGGCAUAAGGAAUCAUACAUAUCUCAAAAUCAGAUAUAGAAUUCAACAAAAAUUCUGUUAGCGUACAAAUCGCGCAAUAUAGAAGAAUACAAAAAGCCCUUGAUGACAGAUCACCAAGUGUCAAAGAAGGUCGUACAGGUUAGGACAUUUCUUUCAGCUCCUUGCCAGAUGUAGUGCUGCCGACUUUAUAGGAUUAUAUGUUGAAUUCUACUCAUGUAAAUGUUAGACACAGUGCAGUAUUAGCUACUGUGUAAAUUCUCGAAGCCGUAUACAAUCACUGUAACAAUACAAAUUAGACAUUAUCGGAGCCACGGGCAAUGGAUAAUGAGGAAGAAAUAUUCAUACAUGCAUUACUAAUUCUAAUGCUUGGUAUAUAC
Temnothorax curvispinosus is the source of this 484-nucleotide long non-coding RNA. RefSeq lists it as uncharacterized. The record is from RefSeq and is a predicted model, not a curated record. Lineage: Eukaryota; Metazoa; Arthropoda; Insecta; Hymenoptera; Formicidae. The transcript is spliced from 4 exons.